GCGGACGUGGCGUAAUUGGUAGCCGCGCUAGACUUAGGAUCUAGUGCCGAGAGGCGUGGGGGUUCGAGUCCCUUCGUCCGCACAA
This 85-nucleotide transfer RNA is filed under the name Marinilabiliaceae bacterium. RNAcentral's name for it is "tRNA-Leu". It matches the Rfam family "tRNA". From Rfam's summary of the family: Transfer RNA (tRNA) molecules are approximately 80 nucleotides in length. Their secondary structure includes four short double-helical elements and three loops (D, anti-codon, and T loops). Lineage: Bacteria; Pseudomonadati; Bacteroidota; Bacteroidia; Marinilabiliales; Marinilabiliaceae. The record is from RNAcentral.